GAGUUUGAUCAUGGCUCAGAUUGAACGCUGGCGGCAGGCUUAACACAUGCAAGUCGAACGGUAGCAGGAGAAAGCUUGCUUUCUUGCUGACGAGUGGCGGACGGGUGAGUAAUGCUUGGGAAUCUGGCUUAUGGAGGGGGAUAACUACUGGAAACGGUAGCUAAUACCGCGUAAUAUCGAGAGAUUAAAGACUGGGACCUACGGGCCAGUUGCCAUAAGAUGAGCCCAAGUGGGAUUAGGUAGUUGGUGGGGUAAAGGCCUACCAAGCCCGCGAUCUCUAGCUGGUCUGAGAGGAUGACCAGCCACACUGGAACUGAGACACGGUCCAGACUCCUACGGGAGGCAGCAGUGGGGAAUAUUGCACAAUGGGGGGAACCCUGAUGCAGCCAUGCCGCGUGAAUGAAGAAGGCCUUCGGGUUGUAAAGUUCUUUCGGUGGUGAGGAAGGUAUCAACUUUAAUAGAGUUGGUAAUGACGUUCCCCGAGAGC
This 487-nucleotide ribosomal RNA is filed under the name Pasteurellaceae bacterium canine oral taxon 080. RNAcentral describes it as "bacterial SSU rRNA". It matches the Rfam family "Bacterial small subunit ribosomal RNA", at positions 9 to 487 of the family's 1533-position model. Lineage: Bacteria; Pseudomonadati; Pseudomonadota; Gammaproteobacteria; Pasteurellales; Pasteurellaceae. The record is from RNAcentral.